UCAAAUGGCCUCAUUACAUCUGGAGUAUUGGUGUUAGCACCAUGUCGCCUCGAGCUGUGCACAGAAGGAGGUGUCUCCUAUUGCCUUGGUGCCCAUUGUGUAUUAUUUCAGCUGCUAAGGACUCCACUCAAAGCGUACUGCAGGUUACUAUUGGAUUAAGGAAUUAUAUUUAAUAUUACAUAACCCACAUCUGUGUGGGCGCUCCAUCUUUACUUGGAUUUAAAGUCUUUUAAAGUCAUUUUACGGUGUUAUAUACAAAAGGUAGAGUAAAUGCAUAAAUGCUGACCAUGCAUUUUCCCAGGACUUGCUGAGACAGCCUACAGUUUGGUGUUAUAUCCCAGGGGCCUUGUACCUCCUGUGACACACAUCUGUGCUUAGCAGGAAUGCCCUCUGCGGCCAGGACCUGACCCACUUCGCUCUGGGAGUGAGGCUGGGAAAAGCUCACUCAGCCUGGCUGGAGGUGAAGUGCAAGCAGCCUGAACUACCACUAUGGCUUCACCAGCACCACUCAUCAACCAGGACGUGCCUGAUGAAAUCUAUUUUCGACAUUCUCCAAGUUCAACAGAUCCCCUGACUGUUUAUUUGCAUACUACCAGUGUCGCCAUGGCAACUAUGGUGUGAAGAUUGCGUACCAGAGGGUGAGACAGAGAGAGGGAAAUAAAAAGUCAUCCGUGUUUGAGUCAUACUGGCCGUCCUAGAAACCUCUUCACUAUAAAAGGCUGAGUCAGGACCUAAAGUAAGACCUUUAAAUGGCCAGACCAGGACUUGGCAAGUCUACUUGUACUCAACAGUAAGGAACAUCCAGUUACAGACUGUAUUAAUUCCUGUUGGGAAGCACAGCUCCACAGCUCCUUAACAUGGGCAUGAACACACUAUUCCCUAUGGAGUCUGGAAGAACUGAAAGUACUCAUAUCCUGCCAGGGCUAAAGAAAUGAUCCAAGGCCGUAAAGUCAACCAUCCUUAUAACACCACUGAAAUAGGCACAUUUGCUUAUCAAACUGCUAGCUAUUUGUUAUUUGUAUAUCUUUCUCCCCCAUGUGCUCACCUAUUAUUACUGAAGACAAUGGCUGUGCAUUCUUGCUGAAAGAGAACGGUGGGCUAUUGUCAAGAACGGCCAUAAACAGAAGGAGCUAUUUCAAUGGAAAAUGUUGGAUUUUGUUUAGUCCUGUGCACCUGUGUAAAACAACAACAUAUUUUUUAAGGACACAAAGCCCCCAACACACAUACACACACACGUUUGUUUUUGUGAAUUGUGGGGACAUUCCAUAGGCGUAAUGGUUUUUAUAUUGUACAAACCGUAUUUUCUAUCCCCCUACACUACCCCUAACCCUAAACCUAACCAUCACAGGAAACACACAACUACACACACACCUAAAAAUGGCUUAUCUUAAGCCAGGUUCACACUUUUAUCAUAUAGUUCACACUAUAUGAUAAAACAGGUUCACACUGUACAUCAUGUCAUUGUGUAGUAGGCCUACGUUGUAAAAUUAAUAUUUUUUAAUAUUUUUUAGACGCAAGUCAAAUGCGUAUGGCUGUCACACCGGAAGCUUGUUGUUUUACUUUAUAAAGUUUUAAAUAUUGAUAUUUGUCUUACACAAACGCAUCGGUUCAAUUCACUUCAGAAGGCCUUCAUAUCCUGGAAAAGCCAGGAUAUUUUUAAUAUAAAUCUGAUUGUAUUUGGUGGAAAGAAGAAAGUCAUAUUCACCUAGGAUGGCUUGAGGGUGAGUAAAUUAUCGGGUAAUUUUCUUUUUUAGAUGGUGAACUAUCCCUUUAACGCGUCUUGACUGCCAUACAGUCUGACGUGAAUGACAACAGAUCCCACAGUUUGGCAUGGCUACAGCGGGAUUAUGUUCGUACAGUCUGACAAGCAACAGUCGUAAAGGACUACUAUAAAUUGUACAGUGUGCACCUGGCUUUGGUGAAUGAAAUAAAUCUAAUCAGUUUCCAACCUUGUAAAACUUUUUUCAGUGUCUGCUGCAAAUGUGCCACACAAGUCCUGAAAAGGUGGCUGGAUGCAGUAUAUCAUAAACCCCACCCUCUCCAUGUAAUCUAAUGGGACACAAGGCAAACUAAACAAUCAAAUUACACUUCAAAUAUUUUUAUUUUUAUUUUUUUUUAAAAAUAUGGUUUCUGUCAUUUUAGUUUUUAUCACGCUGAUGUAAGAUGAAAAGUUGUCUUGUUGUUUUGGUUUUAGUUAGUUAUUUGAUUCUAUUAAAAAAAUGGGGGUGUGACAUCAUGAUUGACAGCUGAGAUUGACAGCUUCUCUUUGAGUUUGGAGCUGUAACUUUAAAUUCUACAUUUCCAUAACUGUUUAUUUCACACAGACAUAAUGAGUUGUUCUGCAGUAAACUGUAGGUGCAUCAUCCAUCUUUUUUACAGUCAAUGGUCUGUUGUCACAUUAGGCCAGCACACACAAGCAGGGCAUAAAUAAAGUCAGAUCAACCGGAAAAAAAAAUGUGUUUUUGUGCCUGUCACUAUCUGUAAUUUUCAUUAAUGGGUGAGUAAUUCACACCAUUAUUUUAUGACGCUUCUUAAAGCCUAUUUUGCAAAAGAUAAUGUUGAAAAAUAUGUUUAUAGUGCAUUUUUUUUUCCUGCUUAGUGCAGCACUCUCUGUGUAGCAAAAUGCGCUCAGCGGUGAAACUCCUUCACUCAACAGCAUUUGACUGCUCAUGCGUGCAGUGUGAACUCUGUAACCUGUUAAAAUGGGCACCAAAAUAAAUACUGCUCGUA
Long non-coding RNA from Megalobrama amblycephala (Wuchang bream), 2730 nucleotides. RefSeq lists it as uncharacterized. The record is from RefSeq and is a predicted model, not a curated record. NCBI's taxonomy places the organism in Eukaryota, Metazoa, Chordata, Actinopteri, Cypriniformes, Xenocyprididae. The transcript is spliced from 2 exons.